UUAUAUCUUUAAUUAGGUUCAUAUUACCAAACCCAUACGCAUGACCAUUCACACCUAUUUCCAAGGAGGUAAUCCAGAGAUCGACUAAAGCCACAGAAUGGGGACGUCAGUCAAAUAAUAAUGAAUGCAAUUACUCAAUCUCUCCGAUCGCCAUACAUGAAUCCAAUGGUUCAGUUCUCUAUCCUAAAAACAUUGAAUAUUGAUUCCAACCUAGAACCCAAAUGCCGGCACUCGCACUCUAAUCGGUUCCUAAAACAAUCAAUAUAAUACAAUUAGGUCAUCUAAAGAAAUUAGGCAAAUCGAAUUUUACCAAACUACUUGGUGGAUUUAAGUUUUAUUAGACACUUGACUUGUCUUCGUUUUUAGACACAACCCUUAAGCUAUCAUAUUCCUAAUUAGCCUAAUUUUUCCACCAUUUUCCU
This 422-nucleotide long non-coding RNA is filed under the name Carica papaya (papaya). RNAcentral describes it as "long non-coding RNA (CPAP_LNC000834)". Lineage: Eukaryota; Viridiplantae; Streptophyta; Magnoliopsida; Brassicales; Caricaceae. The record is from RNAcentral.